AAUAGAUACCCUGGUAGUCCACGCCGUAAACGAUGAGUGCUAGGUGUUAGGGGGGUCCAACCCCUUAGUGCUGAAGUUAACACAUUAAGCACUCCGCCUGGGGAGUACGACCGCAAGGUUGAAACUCAAAGGAAUUGACGGGGGCCCGCACAAGCAGUGGAGCAUGUGGUUUAAUUCGAAGCAACGCGAAGAACCUUACCAGGUCUUGACAUCCUCUGACAACCCUAGAGAUAGGGCGUUCCCCUUCGGGGGACAGAGCGACAGGUGGUGCAUGGUUGUCGUCAGCUCGUGUCGUGAGAUGUUGGGUUAAGUCCCGCAACGAGCGCAACCCUUGAUGUUAGUUGCCAGCAUUAAGUUGGGCACUCUAACGUGACUGCCGGUGACAAACCGGAGGAAGGUGGGGAUGACGUCAAAUCAUCAUGCCCCUUAUGACCUGGGCUACACACGUGCUACAAUGGGCGGCACAAAGGGCAGCGAAACCGCGAGGUCGAGCGAAUCCCAUAAAGCCGCUCUCAGUUCGGAUUGCAGGCUGCAACUCG
RNAcentral lists this ribosomal RNA (539 nucleotides) under uncultured bacterium. RNAcentral's name for it is "bacterial SSU rRNA". It matches the Rfam family "Bacterial small subunit ribosomal RNA", at positions 777 to 1314 of the family's 1533-position model. The record is from RNAcentral.